GUAAAGGCCGUCAGAGGUAACAUCAGCGUCACUGCAUACACUGCUGCCAGCAUGCAUGGAUGUAAUUUUCUUAUUAACAUAGCGAUCUCCUCGGAUGCGGGCCAUAAAAUAAGCCAUCUUCUUUUUUGUUUUUAUAAUAUUGAAAUGCAAUUUAAGUGCCAGAGGCAAAGGUGAUUACUUUAUUAUUGCGAUAAGCGGAAUAGCAUCCGCUCGAUUUUUUCUUUGUUAAAGUAAUACAUACAACACCUUAAACCGAUGACAACCAAGCUAAAGGAGGGAUUGCUUUUCCCCUUCGUCUUAUUUCGAAGUAUAGACCGUUUUGUUUAAUUCCGCCGCUAUGUCCU
Molecule: non-coding RNA, 344 nt
Filed under: Legionella drancourtii LLAP12
Lineage: Bacteria; Pseudomonadati; Pseudomonadota; Gammaproteobacteria; Legionellales; Legionellaceae
Description: Legionella RNA 17
Rfam family: Legionella RNA 17
Source: Rfam by way of RNAcentral